Molecule: long non-coding RNA, 187 nt
Organism: Sinocyclocheilus anshuiensis
Lineage: Eukaryota; Metazoa; Chordata; Actinopteri; Cypriniformes; Cyprinidae
Exons: 3
Source: RefSeq, a predicted model, not a curated record
UUCUGGGAAAAAAAAGUCAUAAGAGCAAAGUAUAUACAGUUCUGCAGUGCGUCAUGCCAUCGCAAAGAGCAUGGAGUGUGCCCUGAGUGACCCAAAGGUCACGGCCGUGGUCAUCUGUGGAGAGAAUGGAAGCUUUUGUGGAGGUGCAGACAUUCGGGAGUUUGCUGGGCCUUUAAAAGGGCCUCCA